AGCGAACGUUAGCGGCAGGCCUAACACAUGCAAGUCGAGCGAGAAAGGGGCUUCGGCCCUGAGUAAAGCGGCGGACGGGUGCGUAACACGUGGAUAAUCUGCCCUUCAGUGGGGAAUAACACGCCGAAAGGCGUGCUAAUGCCGCAUGUCACAAUUGGGUUUCAGAACUCGAUUGGAAAAGGGGACGCCCGCAAGGGGUUCUCGCUGGAGGAUGAGUCCGCGGCCCAUCAGCUUGUGGCGGGGUAAUGGCCCACCAAGGCGAAGACGGGUAGCUGGUCUGAGAGGAUGACCAGCCACACUGGGACUGAGACACGGCCCAGACUCCUACGGGAGGCAGCAGUGGGGAAUAUUGGACAAUGGGCGAAAGCCUGAUCCAGCCAUGCCGCGUGAGUGAUGAAGGCC
This 402-nucleotide ribosomal RNA is filed under the name uncultured bacterium. Its description in RNAcentral is "bacterial SSU rRNA". It matches the Rfam family "Bacterial small subunit ribosomal RNA", at positions 30 to 416 of the family's 1533-position model. The record is from RNAcentral.